This 468-nucleotide ribosomal RNA is filed under the name uncultured bacterium. RNAcentral's name for it is "partial 16S ribosomal RNA". It matches the Rfam family "Bacterial small subunit ribosomal RNA", at positions 28 to 507 of the family's 1533-position model. The record is from RNAcentral.
GACGAACGCUGGCGGCGUGCUUAACACAUGCAAGUCGAACGGAAAGGCCCUGCUUUUGUGGGGUGCUCGAGUGGCGAACGGGUGAGUAACACGUGAGUAACCUGCCCUUGACUUUGGGAUAACUUCAGGAAACUGGGGCUAAUACCGGAUAGGAGCUCCUGCUGCAUGGUGGGGGUUGGAAAGUUUCGGCGGUUGGGGAUGGACUCGCGGCUUAUCAGCUUGUUGGUGGGGUAGUGGCUUACCAAGGCUUUGACGGGUAGCCGGCCUGAGAGGGUGACCGGCCACAUUGGGACUGAGGUACGGCCCAGACUCCUACGGGAGGCAGCAGUGGGGAAUAUUGCACAAUGGGCGGAAGCCUGAGGCAGAAACGCCGCGUGCGGGAUGACGGCCUUCGGGUUGUAAACCGCUUUCGCCUGUGACGAAGCGUGAGUGACGGUAAUGGGUAAAGAAGCACCGGCUAACUACGUG